UUUUAGCCGAAACUACUUAUAUUAUAAAACAGAGAGAGUAGCGUUUAGGGUUAAAAGUUUAGAAUUUAGAGUUUAUGGGUUAGAUUUUAGAAUUUAAGAUUUAUGUUAUAUUUAUAGAAUUGGUUUUAGAGAUUUUAAUAUUUUGAAGAAUUUUAAGAGAAAUAUAUAUUAUUUUACCAAAUUUCUAGUAGUAUUCAAAAAUUUAUAUUGCUACAUAAAAUAAGCUAACUUCUUUUCUAUGAAUUGUAGUUAUACGGGAAAAAAAAGAUUCUGUCAACAAGGUUACUUCUACAAGAACCUCAUUUCUUUUAUUU
Molecule: long non-coding RNA, 314 nt
Filed under: Brassica napus (rape)
Lineage: Eukaryota; Viridiplantae; Streptophyta; Magnoliopsida; Brassicales; Brassicaceae
Description: long non-coding RNA (BNAP_LNC026444)
Source: RNAcentral